GCUGAGCUCAGUAACGUGGGCUUGUGACCCAAGUGGGAGCUUUGAUGUGAUGGAACGUUGCCUUAGCUUAGAUAGCUGAGUUCGGUGGGGCUCGAAUCUGGCCUGCCCGUUCCAAGCCAUGAGUUGAGCCAUGGCAUCCUCCUGUAAACUGGGGUGUCAUGACUCCUAGAGUGGAGGGCACAGCGUGAGGCUGGUUUCACAGAGCAGCGAAUACCUCCCGCUCUUGGCAGUGGAAGGAUUACGGGACUGUGCUAUCUGGAUCCACAUGGCUUGAUGGGUUGGUCUUAAUUGGACCAUCACUUUU
Molecule: non-coding RNA, 304 nt
Organism: Populus trichocarpa (black cottonwood)
Lineage: Eukaryota; Viridiplantae; Streptophyta; Magnoliopsida; Malpighiales; Salicaceae
Source: Rfam